Molecule: non-coding RNA, 74 nt
Organism: Parelaphostrongylus tenuis
Lineage: Eukaryota; Metazoa; Nematoda; Chromadorea; Rhabditida; Metastrongylidae
Source: the annotation of a GenBank genome assembly
ACGUCGGUAGUGCAACAGGUUCAGCACGCGCUCCCGGAAAGAGUGAGGUUUAGGUUUGAAUCCCAGCUGACGCA